AUGAGUCUGUAUUUUUUAUAAUUUUAAGGUUGCAAACCUUGAUACUUAAGACUUAUU
Molecule: transfer RNA, 57 nt
Filed under: Walchia hayashii
Lineage: Eukaryota; Metazoa; Arthropoda; Arachnida; Trombidiformes; Trombiculidae
Description: tRNA-Cys
Source: RNAcentral